GAUGAACGCUGGCGGCGUGCCUAACACAUGCAAGUCGAGCGAUCUUCUUCGGAAGAGAGCGGCGGACGGGUGAGUAACGCGUGGGUAACCUGCCUCAUACACAUGGAUAACAUACCGAAAGGUAUGCUAAUACAAGAUGAUAUAAGAGAUUCGCAUGGAUUUCUUAUCAAAGCUCCGGCGGUAUGAGAUGGACCCGCGUCUGAUUAGCUAGUUGGUAAGGUAAUGGCUUACCAAGGCGACGAUCAGUAGCCGACCUGAGAGGGUGAUCGGCCACAUUGGAACUGAGACACGGUCCAAACUCCUACGGGAGGCAGCAGUGGGGAAUAUUGCACAAUGGGCGAAAGCCUGAUGCAGCAACGCCGCGUGAGCGAUGAAGGCCUUCGGGUCGUAAAGCUCUGUCCUCAAGGAAGAUAAUGACGGUACUUGAGGAGGAAGCCCCGGCUAACUACGUG
Molecule: ribosomal RNA, 452 nt
Filed under: uncultured bacterium
Lineage: Bacteria
Also listed under: 1 other name
Description: bacterial SSU rRNA
Rfam family: Bacterial small subunit ribosomal RNA
Source: RNAcentral